CUCAAAGGAAUUGACGGGGACCCGCACAAGCAGCGGAGCAUGUGGUUUAAUUCGAAGCAACGCGAAGAACCUUACCAGGUCUUGACAUCCCUCUGAAUGGCGCUUAGCAGCGCAGGUCUUUCGGGACAGAGGAGACAGGUGGUGCAUGGUUGUCGUCAGCUCGUGUCGUGAGAUGUUGGGUUAAGUCCCGCAACGAGCGCAACCCUUGCCUUUAGUUGCCAGCACGUUAAGGUGGGCACUCUAAAGGGACUGCCGGUGACAAACCGGAGGAAGGUGGGGAUGACGUCAAAUCAUCAUGCCCCUUAUGAUCUGGGCUACACACGUGCUACAAUGGCCGGUACAACGAGAAGCGAAAACGCGAGGUGAAGCAAAUCUUUUAAAGCCGGUCCCAGUUCGGAUUGCAGGCUGAAACUCGCCUGCAUGAAGUUGGAAUUGGUAAUAAUCGCGGAUCAACAUGCCGUGGUGAAUGCGUUCCCGGGUCUUGGACACACCGGCCGUCACACCAUGGAAGUUGGGGGGACCCGAAGCCAGUGAUCCACCCCAAGAGGAAACUGUCGAAAGUUAAACCAAUGAAUGGGGUGAAGUCCUAACAAAGUNACCCUAUGAGAAGGGNGGGUGGAUCCCGCCUUCUUAGAAAAAAAUGGGUCACCGGUANUUUUGGNGAUUGNNAAACAAUUNUAUANAANCUAUUNGUUUGGANAAAGUNNUGGAAUUGCUCUCACA
RNAcentral lists this ribosomal RNA (723 nucleotides) under uncultured bacterium. Its description in RNAcentral is "bacterial SSU rRNA". The stretch from base 1 to 631 matches the Rfam family "Bacterial small subunit ribosomal RNA", at positions 900 to 1533 of the family's 1533-position model. The record is from RNAcentral.